CAUCUCCUCACCCGAUUUCCUUCCUUCGUGCCCUACUCCCCUUCUCGACUCAUCAUCGCCACCUCCCCCGCUUCCGUAAAGGCCUGAUCGAUGACGACAGAUGAUGCCAUAGCCGUCAUCGUCGCUAGAGGACAACGCCGUCGGCUUUCCAAUCGCGUUGCUAGGAGACGACGCCACCGACUUUCCCAUCGUCUCUCUAUCGACGCCAUCGUCGCAAGCCCCAUUGAGUCAUGCUCUGGCUCCUGAUCCAUGCCACUGCUCGACGCUGUCACCUCCUUCACGUAAGGCAAGAUCGACGAUGUCGUAGCCGUUGCCAUCGCAAAGGUUGAGCAACCGACCUUCCCUCGAUUUUGAAGCAUAUCUGCCCCAUUCUGGUGCCCUAGCAUCUCCAAAGUCGGCCACUAUCCAUCUGCACCAUCGGUCAUGCCCUAGCUUUGGGUAGCGUCGUUGUCGCCUUCGACGGAGCUCCAAUCGUCGUUUCUCCUACUCCUCGGCGUUGACAGCCAAGCCGAAUCUGACACCGAGCCUUUCCAUAGAACCUUCUUCGUUGAUCACUAGAUUAUUGCUAUAUUUGAGGUAAUCACUCAAUCCUAGCAGUAGCUUUAAGGGUUGGAUGUCAGAUUUUGGACCUUGAGACAUGGUUGGAGAUGUUGAUGCCAUAGUGAGGUUGCCACCGUUGGUACGUCUUCUUCAUGGUUGAUCAUAGCCACCAUUGCUACCAUCCAUUCCAGUAAGCAACUGGUUUCUCCUCUGGAAGAGACAAGGAAGAAGCAGCGAGCCUCCGGCAGGAACAAGCAGUAAGGGUAUUGGUGUUGUAGAUCAGCAAUUAUACCUUACUCCAGCCAUUAAUUCCGACAAUGAUUUUCCCCAUCGACUGGGGCAUCAAAUUCGGGACGUUGUUUCGAGAUGAGCACUUCGAUGCGGGGGAUUGUUUAGCUUGAUCUACAUUUAAGGCGGG
This is a long non-coding RNA of Zingiber officinale, 958 nucleotides long. RefSeq lists it as uncharacterized. The record is from RefSeq and is a predicted model, not a curated record. The transcript is spliced from 3 exons. Lineage: Eukaryota; Viridiplantae; Streptophyta; Magnoliopsida; Zingiberales; Zingiberaceae.